Molecule: transfer RNA, 63 nt
Filed under: Drino sp. PH-2020
Lineage: Eukaryota; Metazoa; Arthropoda; Insecta; Diptera; Tachinidae
Description: tRNA-Arg
Source: RNAcentral
GAAUAUGAAGUAAUAAAUUACAAUUAGUUUCGACCUAAUUUUAGGUAAUAAUACCCUUAUUCU